Non-coding RNA from Pelobates cultripes (western spadefoot toad), 769 nucleotides. The record is from the annotation of a GenBank genome assembly. Lineage: Eukaryota; Metazoa; Chordata; Amphibia; Anura; Pelobatidae.
CACUAAUAAUAUACUAGAUUGCCUACUUACAAUCAGAUGAGGAUGGUGAUGGGCUCUGGCUGCAGUCUGGCUCCACUGGUCUGGUGUAGAACAGGAUCUCUGGAGGCUGUUUGUAACUGUGGUCACAAAAUUCAAUGUUCUGGGAGAACGGGAAGCAGCUCCAUUUUUUGGGGCCUCUUACGUAGCUCAAGGUCUGGGCCCCAGGGCCUGACGGUGAGUAUGCCCAUAAAGCCCACCCAUAAGGCCACCUACAUGUUCCACCCAUGAACUCACAGGGAGUAGAGUGUGUAGGGGAUUUGUUAUGUGUUACUGUAGAGGAUCUAAUGUGUGUGCUUACGGAAUGUAGUGUAUAGGGAUACCAGUUUGUGUAGGUGAUGCAGUGUGUUUGUGUGUAGUGGAAGCAGUGUGUGUGUGUAUAAGGGAUGUAUUGUGUGUUUCUUGUUGUGUGUAAGGGAUGCAUUGUGUGAAUCUGUGUUUGUAUGCAUAAGGGAUGCAAAGUGUGUUUCUUUGUAUGUAAGGGAUGCAGUGUGUGUGUCUGUAAGGGGUGCGUUGAGUGUGUGUAAGAUGCAUUGUGUUUCUGUGUGUGUGUGUAAGAGAAGCAGUGUGUGUUUGCAUGUGUGUGUAAGGGAUGCAUUGUGUGUUUCUGUGUAUAUGUGCAAAGGUUGCAUUGUCUUUAUGUGUAAGGGUUGCAUUGUGUGUUUCUCUGUGUGUAAGGGAAGCAUGUUGUGUUUCUGUGUGUAUAGGGAUGCAUUGUGUGUGUGUGUGUGUG